This 720-nucleotide long non-coding RNA is filed under the name Prunus dulcis (almond). Its description in RNAcentral is "sRNA ncRNA". Lineage: Eukaryota; Viridiplantae; Streptophyta; Magnoliopsida; Rosales; Rosaceae. The record is from RNAcentral.
UAUGUGAAACUGUUAAAAAAUUAAUAAGGGAAUCAAGUGAAAUACACAAGGCAACAAAUGAAGGUAUUUUAUUAUAACAAAAUAGUUAUACGACAAAGAAUUGGACAGCGGCUAGGAUCUCUAUUUUAUCAUACGACAAAGAAAAACGUGUGUAAAAUAUACUUCACAACCGAAAGAAAUAUAUAUAUAUAUAUAUAUAUAUAUAUAUAUGUGGAUAAUUGGGCUCGCAAUUCAAGAAUCUCCUGGAUGAUGUUCAAAAACAUGCAUCCAAAACGCAACAGCAGCACAAGGCAGCACAGCAUCCCUUCCAGAAGCCAUCACCUUUUGACUUAGUUUCUACAGCUGCAUGUCCAUGGGGAUUUGGGCCAUCUCUUGUUGGAUAACCAGCAGGUGGUGGGGCCUGCACAAAAUAAGGACUUGGAGCUGUGGAAUGAGGUGGGGAAGGGUAUGCUGCGCCGGAGUUAUUAGCUGAUGAACUCAUGAUCUUUGAAUAUUAAUAUUCAGACAGAGAAGAAAAUAAUGAAAUUAAGGUAGAGAAGUAUUUGUGUUUUGGUUAUUUUGGAUGGAUAGUUGAUGAGAUGAAGCGCAGCUUAUAUAGCAAGAAAAGCAGAUGAGAAUUGUUGGAGUCGUUGUUUCUUAGAAGCUCGGUUGACACGGCGUGUAGCUUUGUUUAUGUGGCGAAGACAAAUCACAGCACAAGAUUGGCACACGGCAAAAGCC